UUCUCUUCCUUGGGACCACACAUGUCUACCUUUUGGGACAUCUGGCCUACACUUCUCCUCUAUUUCUGAUUUUUGUUUCUGUUACUUUUCUCUCAGAAAAAGAGUUGCUAUAUGCUAUUUUCGAAAAAUUGGUCUGCACACACUUGUGGAUUGUACCUCCAAGAUUUAGGACGACUCCUAUAAGCACUGGUUCAGUUUUCACGGUCUUGCGCCAUGGUAUUUGAUGAUAUGUCUAAGUCACUUUAUUGGGAGUAUAUCGAUGUGUCCUCCUCCUAUUUUGGCUGUACAUAGUGAAAUCUCUGGAAGCGACUGAGCAAGGGAUCUUCCAGAAGAAGGCCAAAUUUAUCUUACUUUGAUCAUUUUGGGGCCAUUAUUCAAGACUUAAGGUCACCAUUUGGUGUUACCGUCGUUCACACUAAAGCUGCAAUGAAAGUUGACGUUCAAUGCUGACGGAGCAUGAAAGCAACUCUAUAGGUGGCUUUGGUGCACUGUCUGAAAAAAGCUUCUGAUGUUUGUCAGAGAAAGAAUUAAAAGAAACAGAAGUUAAUAGCUUAUAAUCCCUUGGAUAUAUAGUUUAACUUUGUAAGUCUUUUGAUUUGCUGAAUUCUUGGAAUGAGUAGUGGAAUUUUGAAUAGUAUUUAAUAAGUACAGUUCACAAGAGAAAAUUAGUGUUGUUCAACAAUUAUA
Nicotiana tabacum (common tobacco) is the source of this 687-nucleotide long non-coding RNA. RefSeq lists it as uncharacterized. The record is from RefSeq and is a predicted model, not a curated record. NCBI's taxonomy places the organism in Eukaryota, Viridiplantae, Streptophyta, Magnoliopsida, Solanales, Solanaceae.